Molecule: ribosomal RNA, 443 nt
Filed under: uncultured Anaplasma sp.
Lineage: Bacteria; Pseudomonadati; Pseudomonadota; Alphaproteobacteria; Rickettsiales; Anaplasmataceae
Description: bacterial SSU rRNA
Rfam family: Bacterial small subunit ribosomal RNA
Source: RNAcentral
GGCUCAGAACGAACGCUGGCGGCAAGCUUAACACAUGCAAGUCGAACGGACCGUAUACGCAGCUUGCUGCGUGUAUGGUUAGUGGCAGACGGGUGAGUAAUGCAUAGGAAUCUACCUAGUAGUAUGGGAUAGCCACUAGAAAUGGUGGGUAAUACUGUAUAAUCCCUGCGGGGGAAAGAUUUAUCGCUAUUAGAUGAGCCUAUGUCAGAUUAGCUAGUUGGUGGGGUAAUGGCCUACCAAGGCGGUGAUCUGUAGCUGGUCUGAGAGGAUGAUCAGCCACACUGGAACUGAGACACGGUCCAGACUCCUACGGGAGGCAGCAGUGGGGAAUAUUGGACAAUGGGCGCAAGCCUGAUCCAGCUAUGCCGCGUGAGUGAGGAAGGCCUUAGGGUUGUAAAACUCUUUCAGUAGGGAAGAUAAUGACGGUACCUACAGAAGAAGUC